AGUCGAGCGGACUUGAUGGAGUGCUUGCACUUCUGAUGGUUAGCGGCGGACGGGUGAGUAACACGUAGGCAACCUGCCCUCAAGACUGGGAUAACUACCGGAAACGGUAGCUAAUACCGGAUAAUUUAUUUUGCUGCAUGGUGAAAUAAUGAAAGGCGGAGCAAUCUGUCACUUGAGGAUGGGCCUGCGGCGCAUUAGCUAGUUGGUGGGGUAACGGCCCACCAAGGCGACGAUGCGUAGCCGACCUGAAAGGGUGAACGGCCACACUGGGACUGAGACACGGCCCAGACUCCUACGGGAGGUAGCUUUAAGGAAUCUUCCGCAAUGGGCGAAAGCCUGACGGAGCAACUGCGCGUGAGUGAUGAAGGUUUUCGGAUCCUAAAGCUCUGUUGCCAAGGAAGAACGUCUUCUAGAGUAACUGCUAUGAGAGUGACGGGGCGGGGGAAGAAAACCCCGGCUAACUACAUGCCAUUUCCCAUGAUAAUACCUAAGGGGCAAGCGUUGACCGGAAUUAUUGGGCGUAAAGCGCGCGCACGCGGUUCUUUAAGUCUGGUGUUGCCACCCAAGGCUCAACUUCAGGUCGCACUGAUGACUGGUCAACUUGAGUGCUGAAGAGGAGAGUGGAAUUCCACGUGUAGCGGUGAAAUGCGUACAUAUGUGUAGGAACACCAGUGGCGAAAGCCACUCUCUGGGCUGUAACUGACACUGAGGCUCAAAAGCGUGCAGAGCAGACAGAACUACAUAUACUGGUAGUCCACGCCGUAAACGAUGAAUGCUAGGUGUUAGGGGUUUCGAUACCCUUGGUGCCGAAGUUAACACAUUAAGCAUUCUGCCUGGGGAGUACGGUCGCAAGACUGAAACUCAAAGGAAUUGACGGGGACCCGCACAAGCAGUGGAGUAUGUGGUUUAAUUCGAAGCAACGCGAAGACCCUUACCAAGUCUUGACAUCCCUCUGAAUCCUCUAGAGAUAGAGGCCGCCUUCGGGCGAAAGGUGACAGGUGGUGCAUGAUUGUCGUCAGCUCCUGUCGUGAGAUGUUGGGUUAAGUCUCGCAACGAGCCAACCUCUUGAAUUUAGUUGCCAGUCCUUUGGGUGGCCACUCUAGAAUGACUGGCGGUGACAACCCGAAGAAAGGCGGGGAUGACGUCAAAUCAUCAUGCCCCUUAUGACUUGGGCUACACACGUACUACAAUGGCUGGUACAACGGGAAGCGAAGCCGCGAGGUGGAGCCAAUCCUAUAA
RNAcentral lists this ribosomal RNA (1239 nucleotides) under Paenibacillus lautus. Its description in RNAcentral is "bacterial SSU rRNA". It matches the Rfam family "Bacterial small subunit ribosomal RNA", at positions 60 to 1279 of the family's 1533-position model. The record is from RNAcentral. Lineage: Bacteria; Bacillati; Bacillota; Bacilli; Caryophanales; Paenibacillaceae.